UAUCCUGUUCAAGAAAUCUUUGCCUAAUCCAAGGUCAUAAAGACAUUUCCUUAUGUCUUCCUCUAAAAUCUGUAUUGUUUUACCUUUCAUAUUUAGAUCUGCAACCCACCUGGAAUUGAUUUUUGUUUAUGGUGGGAGGUAAAGGUCAAGAUGCAAUAUUUUCCUCAUAAAGAAGUAGCAAGCCAUGCCAUGAAUGAUGUUAUGAAUCCUGGCAAGGAUAAAGAAGCUUUUAAAGGCAUGUCCAUCAACUUUUUCCAAGAGAGCCAGAAAAGGAUCCGGGAGCCAUGCAUUCCUGCUGCUUCCUGUUUUUCCCCAGCCUGGGAUGGAGCAAGGGGCAGAGAUAUGAACACCUACUCUGCCCUACAACUCUUAUAACAGAUGAUGGAGAAUAAUAAGAAACAUGUAUCAACCUUUGAGAAUGUCCCCUUUGCCAGUCACUUUACCUUUCUGCAUCAGAUACAAGUGACCAGAAGAGAAACAUGUAUAGACAACCAUCCUUCAAAAAUGGAAGCUUGCAUGGCUUGAUGAUGCACACUGGCAUCUUGAAGAGGUCCAUGUGCAAGGGACUGAGGGUUCUUCCUGGUCAACCACUUGUGAGAAACUGAGGCCCUCAGUCCAACAACUUGCAAACAACUGAAUCUGCUGACAACCAUGUGAACUUGGAAGUGGAUCUUUCCCUAGUUUUUUAGGAAUAUUAGCCCUGAGCUAACAUCUGCCGCCAAUCCUCCUCUUUUUGCUGAGGAAGACUGGCCCUGAGCUAACAUCCGUGCCCGUCUUCCUCAUCUUUAUAUGUGGGACACCUACCACAGCAUGGCGUGCCAAGCCAUGCCAUGUCCACACCCAGGAUCCGAACUGGCGAACCCGGGCGGCCGAAGCAGAACGCGCCCACUUAACUGCUGCACCACCGGCCGGCCCCCACUUCACUUUUACAUGUGGGUGAGAUGAUAACACUAAAACUCAGAGACAAUGAGGAAAGUGCCCAAAUGUGGAGAGCUGCUGUGAUAGAUUGGAGUAACAUUCAGCAAAUAUUCAAUCACAUUCCUGCUUCUUUCUGGGGGUGCAGUACCUUCUAUGCUUCAUUUUGAUUUGGCCACGUGACUUUGCAAUGGAAUAUCCAUUUAAAUCGGAUAUUAUGUGAGCAGAGCUUUUAAAUGUGUUGUGUAGUUUAGCUUGCCUUUUGCCUUCCUGCUAUUUACUGUGAUAAGAAUAUACCUUGGGUGGCCACUGAUCCAUGAAGGAUGUACCUAAACCUGACCCGUAGUGUGAAGUCAAGCCCAUACUGACCACAGCUUGAAGCAAAGCUGCCAAGCCAAGCCCAGCUGAUAAAAGCCAAACUGCCUUGACAUGUAGACCCAUGAGCUAGAAAAUUAGAUGUUUGUUGUUGUAGAGCUGAGGAUGGUUUGCUAGGUAGCAUUAACAUAGAAUUAGCUGAGAAAUCCACUAAUAAUUGGGUAAGCUAAGAUUUGAACUUAGAUCUGUCAAAAUCUAUGCACUUUCCACUACACCAUACUUCAUUAGCC
Molecule: long non-coding RNA, 1520 nt
Filed under: Equus caballus (horse)
Lineage: Eukaryota; Metazoa; Chordata; Mammalia; Perissodactyla; Equidae
Description: lncRNA (ENSECAG00000030612.3)
Source: RNAcentral